RNAcentral lists this ribosomal RNA (400 nucleotides) under uncultured bacterium. Its description in RNAcentral is "bacterial SSU rRNA". It matches the Rfam family "Bacterial small subunit ribosomal RNA", at positions 355 to 772 of the family's 1533-position model. The record is from RNAcentral.
UGGGGAAUCUUGGACAAUGGGCGCAAGCCUGAUCCAGUCAUGCCGCGUGAGUGAAGAAGGCCUUAGGGUUGUAAAACUCUUCCGCCGGAGAAGAUAAUGACGGUAUCCGGAGAAGAAGCCCCGGCUAACUUCGUGCCAGCAGCCGCGGUAAUACGAAGGGGGCUAGCGUUGUUCGGAUUUACUGGGCGUAAAGCGCACGUAGGCGGAUUGUUAAGUCAGGGGUGAAAUCCUGGAGCUCAACUCCAGAACUGCCUUUGAUACUGGCAAUCUAGAGUCCGGAAGAGGUGAGUGGAACUCCUAGUGUAGAGGUGGAAUUCGUAGAUAUUAGGAAGAACACCAGUGGCGAAGGCGGCUCACUGGUCCGGUACUGACGCUGAGGUGCGAAAGCGUGGGGAGCAAA